GGGGGGACGGAGAAGGCUAGGUGGGCCUGGCGACGGUUGUCCAGGUUCAAGUGCGUAGGCUUAAGAGUUAGGUAAAUCCGGCUCUUUUUAAGGCUGAGACACGACGUCGAGCACCUACGGGUGUGAAGUCAUUGAUGCCAUGCUUCCAGGAAAAGCCUCUAAGCUUCAGAUUGUAAGGAAUCGUACCCCAAACCGACACAGGUGGUCGGGUAGAGAAUACCAAGGCGCUUGAGAGAACUCGGGUGAAGG
RNAcentral lists this ribosomal RNA (249 nucleotides) under Vibrio parahaemolyticus. RNAcentral's name for it is "partial 23S ribosomal RNA". It matches the Rfam family "Bacterial large subunit ribosomal RNA", at positions 1466 to 1710 of the family's 2925-position model. The record is from RNAcentral. Lineage: Bacteria; Pseudomonadati; Pseudomonadota; Gammaproteobacteria; Vibrionales; Vibrionaceae.